CACUAAGUCAUCUGAUCUCAAACUGGUUCCUAAACUGGGAGGAUCACCAGUUAACUGGAUCUUAGAGCAUCAGAGCCGCUGAAACCUCAUCACCAUAAUCAGUCUCAGUAGUUUCUGGUUGGCUGCAGCACCGACUCACUAACUUUAGCUGGUUUCUCAGUCAGAAAUCACCUCACUGGCUGAACCUCACCUUCAGCAGCAACCAGUUUCUCUCUGGCUCCUCCCACCACUGCUGAGCUCAGCCAAUGAGAAGGCUCGUCUCUAACAGCAGCUUGAUGAUGAUGAUGAAGGUCUGUUAGUCUUCCUUCUGCUGCAGUGGAUCAUCUCUGUAGAUCUGCUGUCUGUCCUGAACUCCUGGAACAUGUUGCUGUACCUCCUGCUCUUCUCUCUCUACAUCGCCAUGGGCUCCAUGAACACCGUCACACAGGAGCAGAGGGAACACGUCGCUUCAGAGGGAAGCCCCACCAGUUUGAGCUGCGGAUAUACUGGUUCUAUCUAUAAUGUCCAGUGGUACCGACAGCAGCACGGAUCCAGACCAGAGUUCCUGCUCCACAUCACAGAGUCGGGAUCGAUCCAUCCAACUCGCUCCGAUUUCUCAGCUCACAUCGAUAAAACUCAGAAACGAGGAACUUUGCUGAUCUCCUCUGCUGCAGUGUCAGACUCUGCUGUGUACUACUGCGCUGUGGCGCCCACAGUGACAGGAAACACCAGAACC
Xiphophorus hellerii (green swordtail) is the source of this 715-nucleotide non-coding RNA. Lineage: Eukaryota; Metazoa; Chordata; Actinopteri; Cyprinodontiformes; Poeciliidae. The record is from the annotation of a RefSeq genome assembly.